Molecule: long non-coding RNA, 760 nt
Organism: Ostrea edulis (European flat oyster)
Lineage: Eukaryota; Metazoa; Mollusca; Bivalvia; Ostreida; Ostreidae
Exons: 2
Source: RefSeq, a predicted model, not a curated record
CGAUGGCGUCAUUUGUGUAGAAAACCACGAGCAGCCGAAAUUGAGUGCGAUUAUUACAUUCCGUGAAAGCUGAACCAACAAAGAAACAUCAUUGUUCUAGCCAGUUUGCUUAUAUUAACUUUUAGGAAAACCAAGAGGUUGAUAACAAUGGCUGAUCUGCAUAUAAUGACUGCUAGUUAUUGGCUGGUAUGCAGUGAAAGGGAGCUAAAAAGGAGUAAAAAGUUCAUAUCAGCCAGGUGAGAAUUAAUUUCUUCUUUUUUGUGUGUUAUACAUAUGUAAUUCUUUUCUUUUGCUGCUUCAAAUCUUGUGUAUUUGAAAAUUUUCAGUCUAAUAUUUGGCAAUGUUAUAGGUAGUGUGGUUUAAAUAAACCAGUGUUAAGGAAUAUCCAGUAAUGGCAUGACAUCAUGAGAGUUUGGCAUACCGACAUUCAGAUGAUUAAUGAUGAAACUGAAGACCUCAAGUGAAAGGCAUGGAAAAUUAUCCUGUUCCCAUUAACCUGGAAAAGAGGAGGGAUGCCACAAUAUUGAUAAUAGACUUUUGUCAAUUUGAGAAGCAAAGAUGUAAAAAAAAAAAAAAAAAAAAAAAUAAAUAAAUAAUGCUGAAAUUAUAAUUCAUGUAUUUGUUAAAAAUACUGUUCACUGUACAUACAUGUAUAUUUUUUUUAACUUAUUUGGAAAUACAUGAAGUAAUUCAUAUUAAAACUGAAUGUAUGAGUUUUCAUGAUUUUUAUCAAUAAAGCUUACCAUAUUUAUUGUACAAA